UUGGUAUGUUUAUGCUUUGAAAGUUAUGGUUGGUUUGGUAUAGUUUAAUGUUUUACCAAGUAUUGUCAUUUUGGGCACUUCCAAAUGCUUGUAUAUAAGGUUCUAUGUUGGUGUUUUAUGAUGUUAUGAAAAUGGUUAUUUGAGAUAGGUUUUGGUAGGUGUUUUGAAUUAGACUAUAUGCAUGAACUAAAGUGUUUUUGGCU
This 203-nucleotide long non-coding RNA is filed under the name Gossypium barbadense (sea-island cotton). RNAcentral describes it as "long non-coding RNA (GBAR_LNC008931)". Lineage: Eukaryota; Viridiplantae; Streptophyta; Magnoliopsida; Malvales; Malvaceae. The record is from RNAcentral.